This is a long non-coding RNA of Cynoglossus semilaevis (tongue sole), 875 nucleotides long. RefSeq lists it as uncharacterized. The record is from RefSeq and is a predicted model, not a curated record. The transcript has 3 exons. NCBI's taxonomy places the organism in Eukaryota, Metazoa, Chordata, Actinopteri, Pleuronectiformes, Cynoglossidae.
CCUGGUUUGCGCAUGCGUAGCAAGAGCUUUUAAAUUAUACCGGAAAUGUGCGCUGUAGUUUUUCAAACAACACAACUUUUUACGUUUAAACUGCGCGUUGAAGCAGUUUUAUGUGAUAUAUAGCCAUUAUAUGGUCACUAGUGCGCUAGCAUUUUUCUCGAUAAACUUUUUUUGGCAGCAAGUUAACCUGCUAGCGUGUGUUUAGUGCUGCGGUCCAGCGUUUUCAUCUCUGUGGACACAAUGCACAGUGGAUGGGUCGUCCGGAAAAGACAAAUGUUUGAAAAACCGAAGGAUAAGAAUUAAUCUAUAAAGAUGAUUUUCUGAUAUAGCACGUAAUUUGGUUUGUUCAAGUGUACAGUCUGCUUUUCGUUCUGGUUAAAUGUCAGUUCUUCUGAGUUGACUGUACUGAUACCACAACAUUGUUGUGUAGAGUAAUCCUCUGCUGGUUUUGACUUGCAGUUGUGUUACAAACAGCAUUUGUGUGACAACGAGUGGAAAUGUGAUUGGAAUUACUGGUAGGACUGAGACGAAGAAGGACAAGACCAUCUCAUCAGAGAGGAAUGACUCGGAGAAGAAGGACGAAGCCGUCCAAUCAGAAGAGGACAACGGUUGCGUGCACAACUCACUUAUAUUCAAAAACGUUGAGAUUCUCCUGUUUGUCAGAGAUCAGCUGUUCUUCUCUGGUCUCAGCUCUGAAGUCCAACCCCUCCCACCUGAGGAAACUGACGUUGGGGGCAACGGGCUGCAGGAUUCCGGGAUCAAGGAUCUGUGUGGUUUUCUCCAGAGUCCAGACUGUAAACUGGACACUCUGGUCUAGUCUUGUGGAGGAUCUGAGAUGGAAAUAAUAAAGAUUUAACAAUAAAUGACUUUAAACA